UAGGGAAUCUUCGGCAAUGGACGAAAGUCUGACCGAGCAACGCCGCGUGAGUGAAGAAGGUUUUCGGAUCGUAAAACUCUGUUGUUAGAGAAGAACAAGGACGUUAGUAACUGAACGUCCCCUGACGGUAUCUAACCAGAAAGCCACGGCUAACUACGUGCCAGCAGCCGCGGUAAUACGUAGGUGGCAAGCGUUGUCCGGAUUUAUUGGGCGUAAAGCGAGCGCAGGCGGUUUCUUAAGUCUGAUGUGAAAGCCCCCGGCUCAACCGGGGAGGGUCAUUGGAAACUGGGAGACUUGAGUGCAGAAGAGGAGAGUGGAAUUCCAUGGGUAGCGGUGAAAUGCGUAGAUAUAUGGAGGAACACCAGUGGCGAAGGCGGCUCUCUGGUCUGUAACUGACGCUGAGGCUCGAAAGCGUGGGUAGCAAACAGG
RNAcentral lists this ribosomal RNA (429 nucleotides) under Gemmatimonadota bacterium. RNAcentral describes it as "Gemmatimonadetes bacterium partial 16S ribosomal RNA". It matches the Rfam family "Bacterial small subunit ribosomal RNA", at positions 355 to 776 of the family's 1533-position model. Lineage: Bacteria; Pseudomonadati; Gemmatimonadota. The record is from RNAcentral.